CCUACGGGAGGCAGCAGUGGGGAAUAUUGCACAAUGGGGGAAACCCUGAUGCAGCGACGCCGCGUGAGUGAAGAAGUAAUUCGUUAUGUAAAGCUCUAUCAGCAGGGAAGAAAAUGACGGUACCUGAGUAAGAAGCCCCGGCUAACUACGUGCCAGCAGCCGCGGUAAUACGUAGGGGGCAAGCGUUAUCCGGAUUUACUGGGUGUAAAGGGAGCGUAGACGGCAGUGCAAGUCUGGAGUGAAAGGCGGGGGCUCAACCCCCGGACUGCUCUGGAAACUGUACGGCUUGAGUGCAGGAGGGGUAAGUGGAAUUCCUAGUGGAGCGGUGAAAUGCGUAGAUAUUAGGAGGAACACCAGUGGCGAAGGCGGCUUACUGGACUGUAACUGACGUUGAGGCUCGAAAGCGUGGGGAGCAAACAGGAUUAGAUACCCCUGUAGUC
This 440-nucleotide ribosomal RNA is filed under the name uncultured bacterium. Its description in RNAcentral is "partial 16S ribosomal RNA". It matches the Rfam family "Bacterial small subunit ribosomal RNA", at positions 338 to 795 of the family's 1533-position model. The record is from RNAcentral.